RNAcentral lists this ribosomal RNA (228 nucleotides) under uncultured bacterium. RNAcentral describes it as "partial 16S ribosomal RNA". It matches the Rfam family "Bacterial small subunit ribosomal RNA", at positions 568 to 795 of the family's 1533-position model. The record is from RNAcentral.
CGUGUAGGCGGCCGUCUAAGUCGGGUGUGAAAUCCCUCGGCUCAACCGAGGAACCGCAUCCGAUACUGGACAGCUAGAGUGCGGUAGGGGCAAGUGGAACUCCAGGUGUAGCGGUGAAAUGCGUAGAUAUCUGGAGGAACGCCGGUGGCGAAAGCGACUUGCUGGCCCGCAACUGACGCUGAGGCGCGAAAGCUAGGGGAGCGAACAGGAUUAGAUACCCUGGUAGUC